GACGAACGCUGGCGGCGUGCUUAACACAUGCAAGUCGAACGGAAAGGCCCUGCUUUUGUGGGAUGCUCGAGUGGCGAACGGGUGAGUAACACGUGAGUAACCUGCCCUUGACUUUGGGAUAACUUCAGGAAACUGGGGCUAAUACCGGAUAGGAGCUCCUGCUGCAUGGUGGGGGUUGGAAAGUUUCGGCGGUUGGGGAUGGACUCGCGGCUUAUCAGCUUGUUGGUGGGGUAGUGGCUUACCAAGGCUUUGACGGGUAGCCGGCCUGAGAGGGUGACCGGCCACAUUGGGACUGAGAUACGGCCCAGACUCCUACGAGAGGCAGCAGUGGGGAAUAUUGCACAAUGGGCGGAAGCCUGAUGCAGCAACGCCGCGUGCGGGAUGACGGCCUUCGGGUUGUAAACCGCUUUCGCCUGUGACGAAGCGUGAGUGACGGUAAUGGGUAAAGAAGCACCGGCUAACUACGUG
RNAcentral lists this ribosomal RNA (468 nucleotides) under uncultured bacterium. Its description in RNAcentral is "partial 16S ribosomal RNA". It matches the Rfam family "Bacterial small subunit ribosomal RNA", at positions 28 to 507 of the family's 1533-position model. The record is from RNAcentral.